RNAcentral lists this ribosomal RNA (67 nucleotides) under Erysipelothrix amsterdamensis. Lineage: Bacteria; Bacillati; Bacillota; Erysipelotrichia; Erysipelotrichales; Erysipelotrichaceae. The record is from RNAcentral.
UGGUGAUUUUAGCGAAGUGGUCACACCUGUUCCCAUCUCGAACACAGAAGUUAAGCACUUUAGCGGC